AUGAUCUCCAGUUCCCUGCCAGGAGUUACAGAAAAUCCCUCUAAUAGUGCCCCUACUCUCUCAUCAAUAUGAUGUUCGGAAGAAGGUUCAGCUGCAGUCAAAUUAUCCCCAUGACAUGGUACAAUCUCUGAUGGAGGAGGAAAAGUAUCCACAGCUACCUGGUCAUUAAGUUGAGCUAGAUCACACUUAUCUUCCAAGACAUUACCAGAAGCCUCGGGAGGGCUCACCAUCUGUGUAACUACAUCUGAAACAACUGAUGGAAAAUUUACAGUUGCCAUUGGAGAAACUGCAUUCUCAACAGUAACCCACCUUUCACUAUCUGCAUGUUUGACAAAGUGGUCAGCCACAAUAUACCCCUCUUCCACCAGUGACUUCAGCUUGCAUAAUCUGGAAGGUCCUUGUUCCACACCAAACUGAUCGACGUAAUACCACUUUCCAAUGGCUCCUUCUG
This 451-nucleotide unclassified non-coding RNA is filed under the name Hevea brasiliensis (rubber tree). Lineage: Eukaryota; Viridiplantae; Streptophyta; Magnoliopsida; Malpighiales; Euphorbiaceae. The record is from RNAcentral.